RNAcentral lists this ribosomal RNA (229 nucleotides) under uncultured bacterium. RNAcentral's name for it is "partial 16S ribosomal RNA". It matches the Rfam family "Bacterial small subunit ribosomal RNA", at positions 568 to 796 of the family's 1533-position model. The record is from RNAcentral.
CACGUAGGUGGCAAUAUAAGUCACAGGUGAAAGCCCUCGGCUCAACCGAGGAACUGCCUGCGAAACUGCAUUGCUUGAGUCCGGGAGGGGGGAGCGGAAUUCCAAGUGUAGCGGUGAAAUGCGUAGAUACUUGGAGGAACACCGGUGGCGAAGGCGGCUCCCUGGACCGGUACUGACACUGAGGUGCGAAAGCGUGGGUAGCAAACAGGAUUAGAUACCCUGGUAGUCC